UACGGAGGGCGCGAGCGUUAAUCGGAAUCACUGGGCGUAAAGCGCGCGUAGGCCGUUUGAUAAGUCGGACGUGAAAGCCCUCGGCUCAACCGAGGAACUGCGUUCGAUACUGUUAGACUGGAGUGCUGGAGAGGGUGGUAGAAUUCCCGGUGUAGGGGUGAAAUCCGUAGAGAUCGGGAGGAAUACCGGUGGCGAAGGCGACCACCUGGACAGCAACUGACGCUGAGGCGCGAAAGCAUGGGUAGCAAAC
This 250-nucleotide ribosomal RNA is filed under the name uncultured bacterium. RNAcentral's name for it is "partial 16S ribosomal RNA". It matches the Rfam family "Bacterial small subunit ribosomal RNA", at positions 524 to 773 of the family's 1533-position model. The record is from RNAcentral.